This 375-nucleotide ribosomal RNA is filed under the name uncultured organism. Its description in RNAcentral is "partial 16S ribosomal RNA". It matches the Rfam family "Bacterial small subunit ribosomal RNA", at positions 527 to 896 of the family's 1533-position model. The record is from RNAcentral.
GGAGGGGGCAAGCGUUGUUCGGAAUUACUGGGCGUAAAGGGCGCGUAGGCGGUAUGCCAUGUCAGGGGUGAAAGGCCUGGGCUCAACCCAGGAACUGCCUUUGAAACUGGCAAACUAGAGUCCGAUAGAGGAUGGCGGAAUUCCCAGUGUAGAGGUGAAAUUCGUAGAUAUUGGGAAGAACACCAGUGGCGAAGGCGGCCAUCUGGAUCGGCACUGACGCUGAGGCGCGAAAGCGUGGGGAGCAAACAGGGAUUAGAUACCCUGGUAGUCCACGCCGUAAACGAUGUGUGCUAGACGUUGGGGGGGUCUUAGACCCCGUGGGUGUCGUAGCUAACGCGUUAAGCACACCGCCUGGGGAGUACGGCCGCAAGGUUA